UGGGGAAUAUUGCACAAUGGGGGCAAGCCUGAUGCAGCCAUGCCGCGUGUGUGAAGAAGGCUUUAGGGUUGUAAAGCACUUUCAGUCGGGAGGAAAGGUUAUCAGUUAAUACCUGGUAGCUGUGACGUUACCGACAGAAGAAGCACCGGCUAACUCCGUGCCAGCAGCCGCGGUAAUACGGAGGGUGCAAGCGUUAAUCGGAAUUACUGGGCGUAAAGCGCACGCAGGUGGUUUGUUAAGUUGGAUGUGAAAGCCCAGGGCUCAACCUUGGAAGUUCAUUCAAAACUGACGAACUAGAGUAUGGUAGAGGUAAGUGGAAUUUCCUGUGUAGCGGUGAAAUGCGUAGAGAUGGGAAGGAACAUCAGUGGCGAAGGCGACUUCCUGGACCAAUACUGACACUGAGGUACGAAAGCGUGGGUAGCAAACAGGAUUAGAUACCCUGGUAGUCCACGCCGUAAACGAUGUCUACUAGCCGUUUGUGUCCUUGAGACGUGAGUGGCGCAGCUAAC
RNAcentral lists this ribosomal RNA (509 nucleotides) under uncultured marine bacterium. Its description in RNAcentral is "bacterial SSU rRNA". It matches the Rfam family "Bacterial small subunit ribosomal RNA", at positions 355 to 856 of the family's 1533-position model. The record is from RNAcentral.